This 253-nucleotide unclassified non-coding RNA is filed under the name uncultured bacterium. RNAcentral's name for it is "contains 16S-23S intergenic spacer region". It matches the Rfam family "Bacterial small subunit ribosomal RNA", at positions 524 to 776 of the family's 1533-position model. The record is from RNAcentral.
UACGAGGGGUGCAAACGUUAUUCGGAAUUACUGGGCGUAAAGGGUGUGUAGGCGGUAUAUUAAGUCUGUUGUUAAAGGUUCCGGCUCAACCGGAGGUCAGCGAUAGAAACUGAUAUGCUAGAGGAUGGAAGAGAGAAGUGGAAUUCCUGGAGUAGCGGUAAAAUGCGUAGAUCUCAGGAGGAACACCAAUUGCGAAGGCAGCUUCUUGGUCCAUUUCUGACGCUGAAACACGAAAGCGUGGGGAGCAAACAGG